UUUAUUGCCUGACAGCCGCCAUCACAUGGAUGGUUGUCCAUUACCUUGUCCCAAAAACUAUCAGCACUUGUCAGCCUCGCCUUCCUCUCUGCUCGCUGCAAAGUUGCCAGUUCUUGCUUCUCCCAAUUUGCAAGAGUGACGAAAAAGCCCAGCAAACUCUGCAUUGCUGCUGGAAGUGCCGGCCGGUUCAUUCUUCCUUUCUCUUUCGGACUUUUUGAGCGAAAAGUUACUUUUUCUCUGUCUCCUUCCCCCCCUCCCCCCUUCCUCUCCUUCCCACCUCCCUCCCUCCGUCCCUCACCUCAACAAGCAAACAACAUUGAAAGCAACAACAACAAAAAACUCCAAAGCACUGCUCCCAAACACCAGGUUGAAUGUACAACAUGAUGGAAACCGAUCUCAAACCUCCCGCCCCGCAACAAACUUCGGGGGGAACAGGCAACUCGAACACGGCGGGGAACAACGCGAAGAACAGCCCGGACAGGGUGAAGAGACCGAUGAACGCCUUUAUGGUUUGGUCGCGGGGCCAGCGGCGGAAGAUGGCCCAAGAAAACCCCAAGAUGCACAACUCGGAGAUCAGCAAGAGGCUCGGGGCCGAGUGGAAACUUUUAUCCGAGGCCGAGAAGAGGCCGUUCAUCGACGAAGCAAAGCGGCUGCGAGCUCUGCACAUGAAGGAGCACCCGGAUUAUAAAUACCGGCCCCGGAGGAAAACCAAGACGCUGAUGAAAAAGGACAAGUACACGCUGCCGGGCGGCCUGCUGGCUCCCGGCGCUAAUGCCAUGAAUGCUGGAGUCGGGGUCGGCGUCGGGGCCGCGGUCAACCAGCGAAUGGACGGUUACGCUCACAUGAACGGCUGGACGAACGGGGGCUACAGCAUGAUGCAGGAACAACUCGGCUACUCACAGCACCAGGGCCUGAACGCUCACAACGUGGCCCAAAUGCAGCAGAUGCACCGCUACGACAUGAGCGCGCUGCAGUACAACUCAAUGACCAGCGCUCAGACCUACAUGAACGGCUCGCCCACCUACAGUAUGUCCCCAGCCUACACGCAGCAAAGCACAGCCAUCGGCCACCAAAAAGCCCUCGGGAGAAGUUGAGAGACGCUGGAAGCCGUGUAAAAGCGUGUGAAGGGAGCGUUUUGCAGCAGAAUGUCGAGGGAUUUUUGCUCUAAUCCUGUUUCUGUAUUCCCAGCGGGGGCUGCAGAUUGAUUCUGCACAGUAGCGCACUUUGGAUAAACUCUGCGUUAGAUAUCAACUCUCGACAUCAGUCGAAUUCUCGAAGCUUCCAGUAAAGAAAGGAAAUACUGGCGCACGCAGUAAGGUUCUGAACCCUUCUCCAUCGUGAUCCCUCCGUAAACCACCAUGGGUUUGGAAACGUUUGGAGAGAGCGCGAAUGUUUUUUUCUGCUGCGUCAGAAUUAGUUUCAAUGUUGAUCGUGAUAACUUUAACUCUCCGUUACUGGAUGGGAAUAUAAACAUAGUAUUAUUUCAUUCAAGUAAAUUAUAAACCACGGUUUUGAUAAUUAUAUUUUGUGUUAGCUUGUACUAUAGACAUUAAUAAAGAUAAGCCGCAGUAUUCGCAGCUAUAUCUAUGUAAGCCAGUGGAGUUGCCACCCAUUAUUACAACCUACCGUUUAGGUAAACAAAUGAAAGUAGCAAACAUCCAGUAUCAUGUCUGACCACACAUUUUGGCUCUAAAUUUCUUAUUAAAGUAAUGACAUAUUCGAUUUCACUAUUCAUGGUGAAAUUGAAUCUCGAUAUUUUAAAUGGAACAAAAGGAACCUGCACGAAGUUUUAAAAAUAUUUCGCACAUUCAGAGAGUGACAAUUUAUGACUUGUUUCGAAAGUCACUAAACAACCGUAAACCUGUUGAUGGUCAGUAGACGAAGGAUACACAAUAUGUCUUUCUUUCAUAUUUCUCGUGUGCUUAAUAUUUUUGAACUGUAAUUUCUCAAAUGAAUCCAGAAUAUUGAUGAGAAGGGAAUAGGAAAAGUUUUCCAGCCACUUGAAAACUAGGUGGAGUUUAGUAACAGACAGACACACACACACACACUCACACUCACACUCAUACACACACACACACACACACACACACACACACACACACUCACACACUCACACAUACACACACACACACACACACACACACACACAAUUGUCCCGUUUUAAAUGCCCUGUUAAACAGAGGCCCGGGUUCUGCAUGGCACCAAUGGAAUUUGUGAAUUGCACAGCAUGUGAGAUGCAUAUAGGGAUUAUUCAUGUGGUGACGGUUGCAAUUGGCCUCUCAUGUACAUAAGAAAGAACUGUUCUGAAUAUGGCCUUAGUGUUCCUGGCGUUCAUUUAAAAGGAACAGUUCGGGGUACCUCUUCAACAAUUAUGAUAUAAAUGAUACAUUGGGAGAGGUUAACUUCCAACUCAGACCGAAAUUGAUGCCAGUUUCCUAGUCAAAUAGAUGUUGGCGAAUUCGGUUCCCAAUCGGGUUCCAACAUAAAACUUUUAUUCAAUUGCCGUAAUACAAAUCACGAAUUGAUAGAAUGACACCGGGAUUACCCGAUCGCUUUGAGGUUCAUUGGCGCUUUCCUAUAUUUAACGGCUCGUUAAAUAUAGGUUUAACAUUCACACCAGAGAACAGACCGCAGGAUGAAAAAUCAACUCCCUUCUGAACAUUUACAUUGCAGUUUAUGCUGCAGUAUAAGUUCUACGUUUUCCAGACCAAUCAAACAACGCAUUAGGAGCGAAGAAAAAUGUGUCUUUUUUGCAAUGGUUACAUGAGGCAGACGGAUCAGGCGUCUCCCUGCGAAGCUGACACUGUUGUCAACGGUGUCAAACGCGCCUUUGCCGGACAGGGUCAGACAGCUUUGGUCAAAUUAAUUAUUGAUAAAACCUAUAGACGCAAUCCUGGAUAAACUAUUUUGAAGAACGUCCUACUCUAUUUCCCGCGCCCCCACCCUCGAUCUUUAAUGAGCGCCCAUAUAUGCAAAUAUAACAUAAAGAGCACUUUAAGCGCAUUUCAGAAGUGUUUCAAAACUAUAAUAUAAGAUUGUUGACAAUAUAAUUAGAAAUAAUCCCUCGUUAAUGUACAGUUUCAGAUUUUAUAGUUUCCCGAAAUGUUGACAUAUUUUUUUAAUAUGUUUCUGUUUUCGUGGAAUAACUGCACCAUACACAAAUAUAUUUCGAUAUAAUGCUGGGGUAAUUGUUGGAUACGAUUACCCGACAAUAAAUACAUUGAAUGAGAAUAGAUAAGCUAACGGGACAUGAACUAAUAAUUACAAUGCUGCAUUAAAUCAUCUAGGAGGUCUCAAAUGAGACCUUUGUGUCCUGGUCCAUUGAGGGUUCCAGCUGACAGCAUUUUGACAGAAAAUAGCCUAAAACCUGCCUAGUGCCUCGGAGGGACAGGCAAUACCUCUUAAGUGGAAGUGUGAUGGGAUACUCAUUUAAAGCUAUUACAACAAGGCAAUUAAAUGCCGCCGUUAUAGUAAAUGGGUUUAACUUUCAAUAACUCACCAACAUGAUGGAUCCGAAAAGGAACAAUAAAUAAAAGUCAAAUCAGAUUGUGGAGAUUUGCUGUUUAUCUAAGAGACUGGAAAUGGCAGGAAGGUGCACCUUGCAGCACGUCAACUGGGAAACGACACAAGAGCCCGAGGGGCUGAUUAUGGUGCAACAGGUGCCUCUUCGCCAUAAAAACCCCGAACGCCGUUUUCCUUCGAGUUUUUAUUUGUAUCUGUCGUCACCAGAGUUAGAUACUGCCGCUGUAAUUUAUAAAAUUAUAGCAUUCCCUUCAAAAAAUAUAUAUUAUCACAAUCGCUUCACUUCACCAACUGGUGACAGAACUGAUGUUAUAUUCAGAUUAAAAUAUGUUUCCUUAAGUUAUAAUGACUGUGUAGUUAACCAACAGAGGAACUUCAAAUGCACCGACGUUUAUUUUAUGUUUCUAAUUUGGCUCCCCAAGUAUGUUAGAUUAUUGCACUCCCUGAAGUUUAAAUACUCGAUUACAGCUAUCUGCCAGUAUAUCAUGUUGGUUAACUUUAACUGCAGAGAGCCCAUUCAAUAAAUAAUGGCGCAGACCAAGUUCAACCACGACUGUCGUAGCGACCUUCGUUAUGAAGCUAGUUUUGGCAGCUAUGGGGUUCUGUAAUUAAAAUAACCCCAUAAACUUGUGCUCAUAGCAUUCCAUCAUUAAUCUGGCGGCCUUGGGUGCAAAUAUGGGGUAACAUUCCCCUCCAUGGUGUGUGUCCGGUUGUAUCAGGGAUGAGGAGUUAUCUUUAAUUUGGUUUCAGAAAACCACCUUUAAAUAAAUACCAGAAAUGGGACCGACCGCGACUCGAGAUAGUAAGUUAAACAAAUGAUUCAACUGUAGUUUUUUUAAAGACUUUUUAGGCUAGUGGGUAAACAAUUGCAUUUUUUUUUGUAUUACAAUGGAUUUAGCAGCGCUUUUUUUUUUUAAAUUGCAAAACAAAUGGAAAAGAUGAAAAGGAUAGAUGGCCGCUUCAUGAGUCUGAGAAAAGUCGGCAAAGCUGGCAACGCGGCAGCUUCACAUCCUGACGUCAGCGCCCUUUGCGAGUUGGCUCCCAGUUUCCCACGGUUCAAAAUUUAGUAUUAUCCCCAACAACAUCCCACCCCCCACUCCCCGCUCCGCCCCACCUCAUCCCAUUCCGAUUGCUUUUACAACAUCUCAUUGGAUUUUUUUUUUUAAUUGUCCUCGCUGGUGUUUACGUUGAGGAACACAUUUCUAAACUUGGAAAUAGCUGGCAGAUAGAGGGAAAGUAAUUAAGGUAUUAGAACAAGCAGUGCAUUCCUCCAGAGGACCUUAUCAUCCAGGAACAGGCUCAACAUCCUCAAUAUGCUAAUGUGGCAAGAAUGACGUCACGGCCGCAAGUUUGCCUGCUCCUACAUUGUGGAAACAAAGUGUGAAGUUCUGUAAAUAAAAUGCUCUUUCCCACUCUCACUACCACCCUUCAAGCGCGAUCUGUUGUGUUUUAAAACGCCACCCUUACUGUUUGUGUGAAAAAAAAAUUUGCCGAUAAUUUGAUAAAAAUGAAUUGCAACGUUUUGGGUGACGUUUCUAUUUUAUAAAAGGUUGGGAAAAAAACGCAAAUGGAAUCGAGAAAUAAGAAUAAAUAAACUUUCAAUUAAAAUAUAGUGUUGCUUCACGGAAGCAGAUGAUAUCAUAUGUGAACAAGAAGUGAAUUUUAACUUGGCAGUCUGCGUGCCUCAGCACAUCAGAUGGAGAAUGGGUUUACAGUAAUACACCGCUUUCUAUCCGACAAUGCUGACAAUUUGAUCAGCGCGGUUAUUUUCAUUUCAUAGUAUGAAGGUCCGAGAAAAAAAAAUUGUGAUUGCAAAUGGUUGCUUUCUCGAAGUAUUAAAGUCACAGCCGUUAUCGGUGCAGCUUCUCGUUAAGAAAAAUGUCAACUCGCUUGACGGCCGUUGUCAGUGAUGUUAUGUUGAAUUUAAUUCUGAUGUUGGUAAUAUGCCUAACCUGUUGUGAAUUACCAUGCAUAAUUAAAGUUCUUUUGUUUUAUUCAAAAUAAAGGAUCGCCGUCAUGGAAUCCAAGACCUGAACAUAGAUUUUCAUUUAAUUGGACAUUUAAUAGUGUCGAACUACACAGAAACAUUCUAUGAUAGUUUACGGGUUUACUAUUCAGCUGACACCGGAGUUGAUUCUUUUACUUAUUUUUAUGUUUUCCAUCUCGCCAAUCACGUUUGAUUCACAGUAUUUGUUAAUUUGGAAUUUUUUAGUUAGGGGAUAAAUGUUGUGAAAGAAUCCGCGCUUGAUUGCCAAAGGCGAUACACACACUAUUUACACAAAGAAACCACGAGUCAACCAUCUCUAAACUCAUUGACCAAUAUUGUGCUUAUCGCCGAAUGAACGAUUAAUUCAAUCAUAUAGUCCAAAUCUUAAUCCAGUGAAUAAAAACAAUUUAUUGUUUAUAUAAACAAUAUGAAUAAAAACAAUAACCUCUUCGCCCCACCAGAACUGAAUCGUUCACACUAAUUAUUUUAUAUUAUAUUUGUCUUCUGAAUUUGGGUUUGAAAGCAUCCAGUGAGCUAAAUGCGUUCAAAAGUUUUCGAUCACUCUCUUGUUUACUGUGAGAAGCAAGUAAAUCAGCUGAAGUAUAAUGACAGUUCCUCUCCUUAUCUUGGCUAAGAACAUUUUAAGUCAGAUCUUCGUUGAACCUUCUCCUAAUGGCGUGAUUAAAUGAACGACAGCAUACGAUCUGUGUAAA
This is an RNA transcript of Amblyraja radiata (thorny skate), 6222 nucleotides long. It is a transcript of the gene named SRY-box transcription factor 2, with no coding region annotated. The transcript has 3 exons. NCBI's taxonomy places the organism in Eukaryota, Metazoa, Chordata, Chondrichthyes, Rajiformes, Rajidae. The record is from RefSeq and is a predicted model, not a curated record.